This is a long non-coding RNA of Gavialis gangeticus (Gharial), 1449 nucleotides long. RefSeq lists it as uncharacterized. The record is from RefSeq and is a predicted model, not a curated record. The transcript is spliced from 3 exons. NCBI's taxonomy places the organism in Eukaryota, Metazoa, Chordata, Crocodylia, Gavialidae.
AAGUCUGGACUGCAAAUCCCAGAGACCUUGGGAGCAGCAGGAAGAGGAAGCAAACACACAGCCCACGCUAGCUACGUGCCAGAGACCUAUGCUGUAGCAUCCCCUGAUUUCUGGCCUGAGACACUGCAGGCAUGUGGUUGCAUUUCCUGAAUUAAAAGUGACUGUCUGUCCAAUUGUUUCUUGAUUUAAUCUCUGCAUUUUAGACUAACUCACCCCUACUCUAUAGCCUACUAUUCUUGUGUUCUAGACACCUAUCUUUAAUGAGCUAAGAAACCCUUGUAUACACAUUCAUUGUCAUAGAUGUUCAUUUUUCACUUGAUUAAGAUUUCACAUUUUUUGAAAGGGCAGUCCUGUAAUAUUUUGUUAGAAUCUAUAUUUUGUCUGUUGGUUAAAGGAUUCCAUAUGACUCAUUUACUUCUCUUCGAGAGAUUGAUAUUUGGAUUUGUUAGGUGGCAAUGGAUGGAUGAUAUAAAAUACUUUUUGGCAAUUUACAAAUGAACUCACUUUUCCUGCGCUCCCACCCCUCUUUCUGUUUGCUUUCUGCAAACAUUAGAAUGAUCGAGUUUUACUUGCAUGGAUGCUCAUGGAAAGCAAAUUUUAAGCUUGCACGCUCGAAUACUGCCAUAUAGCAGAAGUGCCAGGUUGAGAUGACAAAGCUAUGCUGGUGCCUUGAGCCUAAACUUGCUUAAUGAGGGACAAAAUUCUUCACCCACUGCUGCUGCGGCCAUUUCUCUUCAUUGUGCUCUGUGCAAUUAGUAUGUUUAAAAGGGACAAUGCUUGCCAUACCUAGGGGCAGAGUUUUCCAAAAACUCUAUGGCCCUGGCACAUGGGAAAUUACACAAAGAUCUGAUUGUGCCUUUAGCAACUAUAAUUGUGUGUGUACAUCCAAUUUUUUGAGGUGAAUGUGACGAAACUGAAUAAUUCUGCACCCAGACAACAAAUCUUACAGAACCGUAAUGUUGGUUGGACUGAUGCCUUAGGUAGUCUGUCUAGCCCUCUCCUGCAAAUUACGAAAUGUGGUGAUAGUGCAUAUCUGGGAAAAUCUAUGCCUCUGACUUCUCUGCUUGAUAAAAAAGUUAUGCUUAUCUGGUUAGCUGCUGGAAACAAGGGAAUGUGGUUUCUAUCAUUGUUCAUAACUAAAGUAACCCAUAUUUUGAAUACUAUGCAGCAAACAUGCAUCAAAUUGUUCAGUCAUCUAAGAAGUAAAAUAAAUAAAUAAAAUGGUCAAGUGCAUUUGAAUUGCAGAUAAAUCUGAGGAAAUCACAGUCUAUAUGCCUAUAUUCAGUGAACAAAAGAAAAAAGCUGCACAGGAUGGACAAAUUAUCAGGGGGAAAGGGAACAUCAGUUUUCAGGAGGAAAUGGUUUAAAAUAAGUGUCACAUGGUGAGUCGAAGCUGGAAGGCAGAUACUGAGUUUCAACUUUACAACACUUGAUCUGAUAUGACACCAC